Non-coding RNA from Podarcis lilfordi (Lilford's wall lizard), 522 nucleotides. The record is from the annotation of a GenBank genome assembly. NCBI's taxonomy places the organism in Eukaryota, Metazoa, Chordata, Lepidosauria, Squamata, Lacertidae.
GAAGUGAUGUGAGCCUCGCCUCAUUUCCAUUCCCUACUUCCAUCAUUCGGAGGGGGUAUCCGAGGCAUCCGAGCCCCUACCCAAAACCAGUCUUUCUCUUCAACCAGGCUGAUUAACACACUCAAAUGUGUUUGUGUCAGGGGGCACGGGGGCAGUUAUUAGUUCGUUUUUGUUUUAUUAUGUACUUUGUGUUCUCAUUUUGUGUCUUUCUGUUGUGAACGGCUCCCGCGAUCAUUGGCCGAAGGGCAGUAUAUAAAUUUAAUAAAUAAUACUGUUCUUGUUUACCAAUCUGAAUUACUUUCUCUUAAUGUUGUGUAGCUCAAGAGCAAUUGAGAAGAUGCAUCGACAACACAACCAUACCGUUUGUAUUCUGCUAUUUUUCUGGGGAAAGAAGUGCCGGAGCUCACCAUGAACACCUCCCUCGUUCUCUUAGAAUGGCAGUGGCGCCCACCUGAAAAAAAAAGCCCUGACUUUUACUCCGUAGUCAGGCCACUCCAACUACGCUUAAACACACACAGGCAG